AUGCUAGCAAGGUGGGCAGCAUAUCUGGAGAGGUUUAACUAUCUCAUCGUGCAUAAAUCUGGAAUAACUAGCAGGGUGGCCGAUGCUUUGAGUCGUCGUGCAUGCCUCUUGACUUCUUUUGAAGCUGAACUUCCGGGCAUGGGUCAAAUAAAGGAGUUGUAUGAGGGUGACAAAGACUUUGGCCAUGUUUGGGUAAAGCAUGCAAGGGGCCAACCAUUAGGUGAUGACUAUUUGAUGCCAGAUGGAUAUCUCUUCAAAAAUGAACGUUUGUGCAUUCCAAGAAGUUCUUUACGUCACAAGCUGGUUAGAGAGCUCCAUUCAAGUGAUCUUAGUGGCCAUGUUCGACGGGACAAGACUGUCGCUAGCCUAGAAGCUCGCUACUUUUGGCCACAACUAAAGAGAGAUGCUGGAAAGUUUGUUCAGCGAUGCCCUAUAUGUCAAACCUACAAAGGCCAAAUCCAGAACACAGGGUUAUACAUGCCUUUGCCUGUUCCUGUUGCUCCAUGGGAGGACAUUUCUAUGGACUUUGUCUUGGGCUUGCCAAGAACAAGACGAGGAAGUGAUGCUGUAUUUGUGGUCGUGGAUAGAUUCUCUAAGCUGGCUCAUUUCAUCCCAUGCCGCAAGACAAUGGAUGCUCAUCAUGUGGCAAACCUAUUCUUUCGAGAAGUGGCCAGACUUCAUGGAGUUCUAAGGUCCAUUGUCUCAGACCAUGAUAACAAGUUUCUUGCUGCAUUUUGGCUCACUUUAUGA
This 750-nucleotide ribosomal RNA is filed under the name Triticum aestivum (bread wheat). Its description in RNAcentral is "partial small subunit ribosomal RNA". Lineage: Eukaryota; Viridiplantae; Streptophyta; Magnoliopsida; Poales; Poaceae. The record is from RNAcentral.